AUGGAGAGUUUGAUCCUGGCUCAGGACUAACGCUGGCGGCGUGCCUAACACAUGCAAGUCAAGGAGAACGGUCCCUUCGGGGAACAAGUAAACUGGCGCACGGGUGAGUAAUACAUAGGUAACCUGCCCCAGAGACUGGGAUAACCCGCCGAAAGGCGGACUAAUACCGGAUAAUGCAGCGGGCCCUUCGGGGAACAGUUGUUAAAGUGGUCCGUACUUGUACGGUCACACUUUGGGAUGGGCUUAUGUCCGAUUAGUUUGUUGGUGAGGUAACGGCUCACCAAGGCUAUGAUCGGUAGCUGGUCUGAGAGGAUGAUCAGCCACACUGGGAUUGAGAUACGGCCCAGACUCCUACGGGAGGCAGCAGUGGGGAA
RNAcentral lists this ribosomal RNA (374 nucleotides) under Fidelibacterota bacterium. RNAcentral describes it as "bacterial SSU rRNA". It matches the Rfam family "Bacterial small subunit ribosomal RNA", at positions 1 to 361 of the family's 1533-position model. The record is from RNAcentral. Lineage: Bacteria; Pseudomonadati; Fidelibacterota.